CACGAAGGGGGCUAGCGUUGUUCGGAUUUACUGGGCGUAAAGGGCGCGUAGGCGGCCACCGCAAGUCGAUUGUGAAAUCUCCGGGCUUAACCCGGAAAGGUCAACCGAUACUGCGGGGCUAGAGUGCAGAAGGGGCAACUGGAAUUCUCGGUGUAGCGGUGAAAUGCGUAGAUAUCGAGAGGAACACCUGCGGCGAAGGCGGGUUGCUGGGCUGACACUGACGCUGAAGUGCGAAAGCUAGGGGAGCGAACGGG
Molecule: ribosomal RNA, 254 nt
Filed under: uncultured bacterium
Lineage: Bacteria
Description: partial 16S ribosomal RNA
Rfam family: Bacterial small subunit ribosomal RNA
Source: RNAcentral